UCUUUGCAGCAUGGAUCCCACAGCGGAGGAUGUCUUCAAGGGCCGCGGAUGUCGCCUAAGCAGAAUGCUUUAUCACGCUGAAUUACAUUUGUUCAGUAGGAACUCCAAACAAUGGCCAAGGCCAUGGGUGACGUGGAGACUACAAGAAAUGAACUACUGAAAAGUAACCUGAGCCUGGGUGUCUCAAGAUAAGAUUGAGAGCAACAAACGUGGAUUUGCAUUGGCUGCAGUUUGUGUUGCAUCAUCAGGAGCUCAGAUAUUCACUGAAGAGUAUCUUAUGGUGGGCAGGUGGUGAAAUUGGCGUUUGUUCCCUCUUCAGAAAUGGAUAUUACAAACUGAACAUGGAUGUCUCAGGACAUGAGACCCGACUUCUUCGGCAGUGCAAGUUAUUGAUUGCAUGGGGGUGGGAGAUUAGAAAAUGCAUUUAUAAAUAUGGUGGCAGCUCCUGGUGCAUAGUUGUAUACAAACUGCAGGAUCUGCUGGUGGAACUCUUCCAAGGUCAGGUCUCGUCUGUGCAGGGACUCCAGGUCAUGCAGGUCACAGGGAAACGCCGCAUUGGGUGGAAGAACAAGUGCUGAGGCUCCUGCAUUCCCAAGACAGACUCUGAAGAAUAAGAGCUUCAUCAUGAUCCAUAAAUAAUAGUGAACUAAUACAGAAGUGAUAUAUAAAAAGUGAAUGUUGAAACCUUCAUCUAAAAAAAGUUUGUUUAAAUGUUUGUUGCUGCAGUGUUUUUAUGCUAGUGGUAUAUCCCUCACUGAAUAUGGAGCUUUUUUUUUUUUUUUUUAAGAUUCUUUAUUAUACCUUCUAAAGUUAGUAAAUUACUACCAAAGCAACUUUAACUUGAAAGAUCAUGUUAAUUGGCAGCUAGUAAUCUAUUCAGUUUACUACAGGGAAUGAUUAAUCUUAAAAGGUUCACUUGUAAAGAUCUCACCAUGUCUGAGGGUAAUGGAGUUCUCACACAGCAGCACUGCAAUAACUGCAUCCUCUUCCAGAAUAAGAGUCCUCAGGUUAAGCUUGGCAUGAGCCUGUGCAAGGGCUAUCCUGGCAAAACCAGCAAGCAAAAUACAUUUUGUAUUUAAGUGCACUUUGUGGUACUGCAAUAGUGAAUUAUGAAUGUAUUGUUUAUCUUGAAGGAUACUGGUGAAUGGGGUCAGUAAUGAGCUGUGUAGAAGUUAAAGCACAGAAUUUGUGUAUGAGAUUCAUUAUCUAAUUAUCACAAAUGUAUUGACUCCCCAAAUAAUUGUCUCUCAUAAUGGCCGGAAUUUGUCCAAAGGCAAAGCAGAUUCCAGAAAGAACUCGUACGUUUAUCUAGUGUGUAGAUGUUCUAAGGCUACCAUCUAGUGGCAAGCAAUUGUACUGUCCAUUUAUUGUGUACUCGGCUUUGUUGCAGCCAUUUCUAAUUUUAGUCACCAUUAAAUUGUUCCAACAA
Molecule: long non-coding RNA, 1429 nt
Organism: Neoarius graeffei (lesser salmon catfish)
Lineage: Eukaryota; Metazoa; Chordata; Actinopteri; Siluriformes; Ariidae
Exons: 7
Source: RefSeq, a predicted model, not a curated record